This 303-nucleotide unclassified non-coding RNA is filed under the name uncultured fungus. RNAcentral describes it as "sequence contains ITS1, 5.8S rRNA gene". The stretch from base 255 to 303 matches the Rfam family "5.8S ribosomal RNA", at positions 1 to 49 of the family's 154-position model. The record is from RNAcentral. Lineage: Eukaryota; Fungi.
UUUCCGUAGGUGAACCUGCGGAAGGAUCAUUACCGAGUUAGGGUCCCCCCUCGGGGGUGGCCCGACCUCCCAACCCUGUGUCUACUCAACUUGUACGUGUUGCUUCGGCGGACCGGCGCUCGUAAGACCGCCGCCGGGGGGCGUCUAAACCCCCCUGGAGAGCGUCCGUCGAUGGCCCAACCAAACUAUCGAAACCAAAAUGAUUGAACCCUCCAUUCUGAAUCAGACCAUUUUGAUAUACCAAUCAAAAACAAAACUUUCAACAACGGAUCUCUUGGUUCUGGCAUCGAUGAAGAACGCAGC